UGGGGAAUAUUGCACAAUGGGCGAAAGCCUGAUGCAGCAACGCCGCGUGAGUGAUGAAGGUCUUCGGAUUGUAAAGCUCUGUCUUUUGGGACGAUAAUGACGGUACCAAAGGAGGAAGCCACGGCUAACUACGUGCCAGCAGCCGCGGUAAUACGUAGGUGGCGAGCGUUGUCCGGAUUUACUGGGCGUAAAGGGUGCGCAGGCGGAUGUUUAAGUGAGAUGUGAAAUACCCGGGCUUAACUUGGGUGCUGCAUUUCAAACUGGAUAUCUAGAGUGCAGGAGAGGAGAAUGGAAUUCCUAGUGUAGCGGUGAAAUGCGUAGAGAUUAGGAAGAACACCAGUGGCGAAGGCGAUUCUCUGGACUGUAACUGACGCUGAGGCACGAAAGCGUGGGUAGCAAACAGGAUUAGAUACCCUGGUAGUCCACGCCGUAAACGAUGAGUACUAGGUGUAGGAGGUAUCGACCCCUUCUGUGCCGCAGUAAACACAUUAAGUACUCCGCCUGGGAAGUACGAUCGCAAGAUUAAAACUCUAAAGUGAAUUGACGGGGUC
RNAcentral lists this ribosomal RNA (551 nucleotides) under uncultured bacterium. Its description in RNAcentral is "partial 16S ribosomal RNA". It matches the Rfam family "Bacterial small subunit ribosomal RNA", at positions 355 to 920 of the family's 1533-position model. The record is from RNAcentral.